CCUACGGGGGGCUGCAGUGGGGAAUAUUGGACAAUGGGGGGAACCCUGAUCCAGCCAUGCCGCGUGUGUGAAGAAGGCCCUCGGGUUGUAAAGCACUUUCAGUGAGGAAGAACGCCUGGUGGUUAAUACCCAUCAGGAAAGACAUCACUCACAGAAGAAGCACCGGCUAACUCCCGUGCCAGCAGCCGCGGUAAUACGGAGGGUGCGAGCGUUAAUCGGAAUUACUGGGCGUAAAGCGCGCGUAGGUGGCUUGAUAAGCCGGUUGUGAAAGCCCCGGGCUCAACCUGGGAACGGCAUCCGGAACUGUCAAGCUAGAGUGCAGGAGAGGAAGGUAGAAUUCCCGGUGUAGCGGUGAAAUGCGUAGAGAUCGGGAGGAAUACCAGUGGCGAAGGCGGCCUUCUGGACUGACACUGACACUGAGGUGCGAAAGCGUGGGUAGCAAACAGGAUUAGAUACCCUUGUAGUC
RNAcentral lists this ribosomal RNA (466 nucleotides) under Vreelandella stevensii. RNAcentral's name for it is "partial 16S ribosomal RNA". It matches the Rfam family "Bacterial small subunit ribosomal RNA", at positions 338 to 795 of the family's 1533-position model. The record is from RNAcentral. Lineage: Bacteria; Pseudomonadati; Pseudomonadota; Gammaproteobacteria; Oceanospirillales; Halomonadaceae.